UGGGGAAUAUUGCGCAAUGGGGGGAACCCUGACGCAGCCAUGCCCGCGUGAAUGAAGAAGGCCUUAGGGUUGUAAAGUUCUUUCGGUAUUGAGGAAGGUUGAUGUGUUAAUAGCACAUCAAAUUGAUGUUAAAUACAGAAGAAGCACCGGCUAACUCCGUGCCAGCAGCCGCGGUAAUACGGAGGGUGCGAGCGUUAAUCGGAAUAACUGGGCGUAAAGGGCACGCAGGCGGUUAUUUAAGUGAGGUGUGAAAGCCCCGGGCUUAACCUGGGAAUUGCAUUUCAGACUGGGUAACUAGAGUACUUUAGGGAGGGGUAGAAUUCCACGUGUAGCGGUGAAAUGCGUAGAGAUGUGGAGGAAUACCGAAGGCGAAGNNNGCCCCUUGGGAAUGUACUGACGCUCAUGUGCGAAAGCGUGGGGAGCAAACAGGAUUAGAUACCCUGGUAGUCCACGCUGUAAACGCUGUCGAUUUGGGGGUUGGGGUUUAACUCUGGCGCCCGUAGCUAACGUGAUAAAUCGACCGCCUGGGGAGUACGGCCGCAAGUUA
RNAcentral lists this ribosomal RNA (547 nucleotides) under uncultured bacterium. Its description in RNAcentral is "bacterial SSU rRNA". It matches the Rfam family "Bacterial small subunit ribosomal RNA", at positions 355 to 896 of the family's 1533-position model. The record is from RNAcentral.